This 317-nucleotide ribosomal RNA is filed under the name uncultured OCS116 cluster bacterium. RNAcentral describes it as "SSU rRNA". It matches the Rfam family "Bacterial small subunit ribosomal RNA", at positions 29 to 367 of the family's 1533-position model. Lineage: Bacteria; Pseudomonadati; Pseudomonadota; Alphaproteobacteria. The record is from RNAcentral.
ACGAACGCUGGCGGCAGGCCUAACACAUGCAAGUCGAACGAUAAGCUUCUUCGGAAGUGGACAGUGGCAGACGGGUGAGUAACGCGUGGGGAUCUGCCCAGAGGUUCGGGACAACCAUUGGAAACGAUGGCUAAUACCGAAUAAGCCCGUAAGGGGAAGAUUUAUUGCCUUUGGAUGAACCCGCGUAAGAUUAGCUAGUUGGUGAGGUAAUGGCUCACCAAGGCGACGAUCUUUAGCUGGUCUGAGAGGAUGAUCAGCCACAUUGGGACUGAGACACGGCCCAGACUCCUACGGGAGGCAGCAGUGGGGAAUCUUGC